GUGGGGAAUAUUCCGCAAUGGACGAAAGUCUGACGGAGCAACGCCGCGUGAGUGAUGAAGGUUUUCGGACUGUAAAGCUCUGUUGUUUAGGACGAAAGUGCCUGUUGCAAAUAGUUACAGGUAUUGACGGUACUGAACGAGGAAGCCACGGCUAACUACGUGCCAGCAGCCGCGGUAAUACGUAGGUGGCAAGCGUUGUCCGGCAUUAUUGGGCGUAAAGAGCAUGUAGGCGGGAAUCUAAGUCUGUUGUGAAAAUGCGGGGCUCAACCCCGUAUUGCGAUGGAAACUGGGUUUCUUGAGUGCAGGAGAGGAAAGGGGAAUUCCCAGUGUAGCGGUGAAAUGCGUAGAUAUUGGGAGGAACACCAGUGGCGAAGGCGCCUUUCUGGACUGUGUCUGACGCUGAGAUGCGAAAGCCAGGGUAGCGAACGGGAUUAGAAACCCUGGUAGUCC
RNAcentral lists this ribosomal RNA (450 nucleotides) under uncultured bacterium. RNAcentral describes it as "partial 16S ribosomal RNA". It matches the Rfam family "Bacterial small subunit ribosomal RNA", at positions 354 to 796 of the family's 1533-position model. The record is from RNAcentral.